GACGAACGCUGGCGGCGUGCCUAAUACAUGCAAGUCGAACGCAGUGGGGACGGGUGAGUAACACGUGGGUAACCUCCCAUCAGAGGGGAUAACACUUGGAAACAGGUGCUAAACCGAUACUGAUGGAUGGACUCGCGGUGCAUUAGCUAGUUGGGGAGGUAACGGCUCACCAAGGCCACGAUGCAUAGCCGAGCUGAGAGGGUGAGCAGCCACACUGGGACUGAGACACGGCCCAGACUCCUACGGGAGGCAGCAGUGGGGAAUCUUCGACAAUGGACGAAAGUCUGACCGAGCAACGCCGCGUGUGUGAAGAAGGUUUUCGGAUCGUAAAGCUCUGUUGUUGGGGAAGCGGUAUCUGACCAGAAAGCCACGGCUAACUACGUGCCAGCCGCCGCGGUAAUAC
RNAcentral lists this ribosomal RNA (403 nucleotides) under uncultured bacterium. RNAcentral's name for it is "partial 16S ribosomal RNA". It matches the Rfam family "Bacterial small subunit ribosomal RNA", at positions 28 to 526 of the family's 1533-position model. The record is from RNAcentral.